GAGGAAAGUCCGGGCUCUAGUUAGAAUAAUAUAGCUAUAUAAAUAUAGUGUAGGUAACUACGAGGAAAGUGCCACAGAAAUAAACCUACUAUUUUUAAGGUAAGGGUGCAACGGUGCGGUAAAAGCGUACCAGAAAUAUUAUUAAAAUAUUUGCUAGGUAAACCCCAUAUUAGAGCAAGGUAGUUAGUAUUUAUAUUUUCUAUUAUUUUUAUUAUUUAUAAAAAAUACUAAUUAGAUAGUAUACCGCAUAAAGUAAACUUUAACUUUUUACUGAAGAUAAAUAAUUACCCUUUUUAUAUUUUUAUUUAAUAUAAUAUAUAAUUAAGAACAAAACCCGGCUUAU
RNAcentral lists this RNase P RNA (343 nucleotides) under Taenioma perpusillum. RNAcentral's name for it is "rnpB". The stretch from base 2 to 175 matches the Rfam family "Bacterial RNase P class A", at positions 44 to 222 of the family's 367-position model. Rfam says of the family: Ribonuclease P (RNase P) is a ubiquitous endoribonuclease, found in archaea, bacteria and eukarya as well as chloroplasts and mitochondria. Its best characterised activity is the generation of mature 5'-ends of tRNAs by cleaving the 5'-leader elements of precursor-tRNAs. The record is from RNAcentral. Lineage: Eukaryota; Rhodophyta; Florideophyceae; Ceramiales; Delesseriaceae.